Molecule: transfer RNA, 57 nt
Filed under: Schistocephalus solidus
Lineage: Eukaryota; Metazoa; Platyhelminthes; Cestoda; Diphyllobothriidea; Diphyllobothriidae
Rfam family: tRNA
About the family: Transfer RNA (tRNA) molecules are approximately 80 nucleotides in length. Their secondary structure includes four short double-helical elements and three loops (D, anti-codon, and T loops).
Source: Rfam by way of RNAcentral
GAGCCCGUGGCUCAAUGGUUAGAGCGUUGGACUCAAAUACCAAAGGUCGCGGUUUCG